This 253-nucleotide ribosomal RNA is filed under the name uncultured bacterium. RNAcentral describes it as "partial 16S ribosomal RNA". It matches the Rfam family "Bacterial small subunit ribosomal RNA", at positions 524 to 776 of the family's 1533-position model. The record is from RNAcentral.
UACGAAGGGGGCUAGCGUUGCUCGGAAUCACUGGGCGUAAAGCGCACGUAGGCGGCCUUCUAAGUCGAACGUGAAAUCCCCGGGCUCAACCCGGGAACUGCGUCCGAUACUGGAAGGCUUGAAUCCGGGAGAGGGAUGUGGAAUUCCAGGUGUAGCGGUGAAAUGCGUGGAUAUCUGGAGGAACACCGGUGGCGAAGGCGACAUCCUGGACCGGUAUUGACGCUGAGGCGCGAAAGCCAGGGGAGCAAACGGG